Molecule: ribosomal RNA, 504 nt
Filed under: uncultured bacterium
Lineage: Bacteria
Description: partial 16S ribosomal RNA
Rfam family: Bacterial small subunit ribosomal RNA
Source: RNAcentral
AUUGAACGCUGGCGGAAUGCUUUACACAUGCAAGUUGAACGGCAGCACGGAGAGCUUGCUCUCUGGUGGCGAGUGGCGAACGGGUGAGUAAUAUAUCGGAACGUGUCCAAUAAUGGGGGAUAACGAGUCGAAAGAUUCGCUAAUACCGCAUACGCCCUACGGGGGAAAGCAGGGGAUCGUAAGACCUUGCGUUAAUGGAGCGGCCGAUAUCUGAUUAGCUAGUUGGUGAGGUAAAGGCUCACCAAGGCGACGAUCAGUAGCUGGUUUGAGAGAACGACCAGCCACCCUGGAACUGAGACACGGUCCAGACUCCUACGGGAGGCAGCAGUGGGGAAUUUUGGACAAUGGGGGCAACCCUGAUCCAGCCAUUCCGCGUGAGUGAAGAAGGCCUUCGGGUUGUAAAGCUCUUUCGAAAGGGAAGAAAACUUAUGAUCGAAUAAAUCAUGAGGUUGACGGUACCUUGAUAAGAAGCACCGGCUAACUACGUGCCAGCAGCCGCCGUAA